This is a long non-coding RNA of Bufo bufo (common toad), 169 nucleotides long. RefSeq lists it as uncharacterized. The record is from RefSeq and is a predicted model, not a curated record. NCBI's taxonomy places the organism in Eukaryota, Metazoa, Chordata, Amphibia, Anura, Bufonidae. The transcript has 3 exons.
ACAGUGAAGCAUGAAUGUGGUGGCCUAAUGGGUGUAGUAGUUGGUACUCACAUUUCUGUAGCUCCCUGGGUCGGCAUGCAAUGAUGGGAAGGAAGGCACCAGAUUCUUUCAGGGCACACUCUGGUGUUGAUGAAUCUCCUGCCAGAUGUUGGUUGAGGUGCCCUUGGUG